RNAcentral lists this ribosomal RNA (331 nucleotides) under Paenibacillus polymyxa. Its description in RNAcentral is "bacterial SSU rRNA". It matches the Rfam family "Bacterial small subunit ribosomal RNA", at positions 1 to 315 of the family's 1533-position model. Lineage: Bacteria; Bacillati; Bacillota; Bacilli; Caryophanales; Paenibacillaceae. The record is from RNAcentral.
UCUUUAAUGGAGAGUUUGAUCCUGGCUCAGGACGAACGCUGGCGGCGUGCCUAAUACAUGCAAGUCGAGCGGGGUUAUUUAGAAGCUUGCUUCUAAAUAACCUAGCGGCGGACGGGUGAGUAACACGUAGGCAACCUGCCCACAAGACAGGGAUAACUACCGGAAACGGUAGCUAAUACCCGAUACAUCCUUUUCCUGCAUGGGAGAAGGAGGAAAGGCGGAGCAAUCUGGCACUUGUGGAUGGGCCUGCGGCGCAUUAGCUAGUUGGUGGGGUAAAGGCCUACCAAGGCGACGAUGCGUAGCCGACCUGAGAGGGUGAUCGGCCACACUG